GACGAACGCUGGCGGCGUGCCUAAUACAUGCAAGUAGAACGCUGAAGGAGGAGCUUGCUCUUCUGGAUGAGUUGCGAACGGGUGAGUAACGCGUAGGUAACCUGCCUGGUAGCGGGGGAUAACUAUUGGAAACGAUAGCUAAUACCGCAUAACAUUGACUAUUGCAUGAUAGUCAAUUGAAAGGUGCAAAUGCACCACUACCAGAUGGACCUGCGUUGUAUUAGCUAGUUGGUGGGGUAACGGCUCACCAAGGCUACGAUACAUAGCCGACCUGAGAGGGUGAUCGGCCACACUGGGACUGAGACACGGCCCAGACUCCUACGGGAGGCAGCAGUAGGGAAUCUUCGGCAAUGGACGGAAGUCUGACCGAGCAACGCCGCGUGAGUGAAGAAGGUUUUCGGAUCGUAAAGCUCUGUUGUAAGAGAAGAACGAGUGUGAGAGGGAAAGUCACAC
Molecule: ribosomal RNA, 453 nt
Filed under: uncultured bacterium
Lineage: Bacteria
Description: bacterial SSU rRNA
Rfam family: Bacterial small subunit ribosomal RNA
Source: RNAcentral